AUGACGCACCGAGAUGGUCUGUUUCCAUAUGAGACAGUACGACGAUCCAACCAUAUGCCCAGGAGACCAUGGCCGGCCACCCCAGCAAAGAUAGAUACUGCUACUGAUGGCAUCGGAAGAAAAUUUGUGUGCAGUGCAGUGCACUUGCCUCGUGAUGAGCAGAUUGAGUGGUGGGUGCAGCCUGAAGAUGAACUGCGGGUCAGGUGGUUCAGGGUUCGGGUCACUGUACCUACUUUUUCAGCCGAAGGAACUGGCUAUAGCCCUAGAGCCUUUGCUGGUUGGCCUGUUAGCACAAGGUUACCUUGGUGUAGUACCUUGAAAAGAGUGAGCUGGAGGAAACGACAGCCAUCAUUUCCGCGGGCCGCAAACAACUGUGAAUUUUACCCAAAACCUACUUAUGUCAUCAAGUAUGUGGACCUUGCUAAGAGUAUCUACAACCGGACCUCCCACAUCCGCCCCCAAAUGCUCCCCAAAACCAGCCCAAACGGCCGGGUUGUCCGGCAACCCCCAGCUCAUACGUGGGAUGGAUAUGAGGAGGCUCGGACGCACCCCAACACCACCACCACAUGGGAUCGGCUCGCUAUGGCCCAUGCUGUCCCCAUCAUUGUCCCCACAAAAACCCCAUACGGUCUGACGAACCCUAGUCAAAUCCCACUCCUCUCAGUCCUCUCACCCUCUUCGCUCCCCUCAGCCAUGGCCAAGUUCAGCGGCAACUCUAGCAGCGAUGGACUGGGGCGGACUCGUGAAGGAGGAGGACUCGAGCUCCGGCAGCGAAGUGCUAGACAACGAGGAGCUCGAGCUCCGCAUGGCCAUCAGGCGGUCACAGGUGGACACUGCGGGAUCUCGAGCUCCGUGGCAUGCACCGCCAGCUCCUCCAGGUCCCAUCACGGCAAUGCGCCCUGUGCACGCCCGUCCCGCUCCAGAUCCGAAACAGGGCGGCUCUCUCCCCUUCCCCUCCGACACCAGCUCUGCAUGGGCAACGUUGGGUGCUUGUGCCCGCAGCUCCCAAAAGGAUGCAAGCUGUCAGAGUCAGAGGCGAAGGCAGUUGGCCGCGCAGAGGGAGACAGAGCUCGACCAUUCGCCCGCUCCGGCCCGUCUUCCCGGAGGAACAACUCCUCCGCAAGGUCAUGCGCCGGCUACAUCUCUUCCUCGUCGGGCAACGGCACCACCAGCACAAACAACGAUGAUCCUCCUGUUGCGGACGCCUAUAGGGAGGAGAUGCAACACCGCUUCGACUAUGGUGAUUGCAUUGCUCUUCUCAAAACCGCAAAGGAAAUUUGGGAUUGCCUUGAGGAGGCUCUUGAAGGAGAUGAAGCAAUUCGAAGAUCUCGGUUGGCCUUGCUCAAACAAGAAGUCAAUCUCUUUGUGAGGAAUGAGGGUGAGUCCGCAGAAGAGGUUUACCGAAGGUUGAAGUCCCUUGUGCUCAACUUGAGAACCUUUGGGUGCACUUGGGCAAAUGAUGAAUUCAUCAAGGACAAGUUCAUAGAUGCUAUGGUUCUCACAGAACAUACCAUGGUCAUGAUGGUUCAUCAACGUCCGGACUAUCACAAGUUGACUUCGGCUCAAGUUGUUUCCACCUUCUCUACACAUGUUCUUUUGGAAACCAAGAAGCCUCCAGCGCCGCCGCCGUCGCCUCCACUCGCCGGAGCUCCUCCAGGCUUCACCGGGGUUCCUCCUCCUUGGACCUGCAUCCAGAUGGGGUCCUCCUCCGACUCCACUGACAAGAGGUCUGAGCUUCGUCGCAAGCGUGCAAAAGGAGGAUCAAAGGACUUCACCAUUGCUCGUCGUCAGCCGUCUGAAGGCAUGGGUCAGGGGUAUGGGUCAGGUCAGGGUCGUGCUCGCCGUGCAGCCUCAAAGCGGCCCGUUGUUGAGUCUUCCGAUGAUUCUGAGGAAGAAUAUGACUCACAAGAUGAUGAGAUAGAAGAAGAAGAUGAUCGUGGUGAGGAAGAUGAAGAAGAGGAAGAGGAGUCUAGUCCAGAGGAAGCCACUCCGGGCAGGCGUGACCUCCGGAAUAUGACUCUUGUCAAGUGGACCAAGCCAGAGAUCUGGGCUGAGAGACAGAGCCAUCCGUAUGUUAAGGCCACGAGUAUGGGAAUGGAUCCCCGUUUCAAGAAUGGGUUUCAGCAAAGAAUCUAUCAUGAGCUUCUUAUGACCAAGUCAAAGAAGUUUUCUCCUCACAAGCAAGUCAACACUGAGAGUUUGCGCGACAAUGAUCAUCUGUAUCCCGGUGUGUACUCUGCUCUUGGACGAUUGGGUCUGAUUCCGUUUGUCACCUUCAACCACCCCUAUAAUGAAGAUCUAGUGAUGCAGUUCUUUGCCACUCUGUACUUCUCCAAUGAUUCUGCUCGCACUCUCACAUGGAUGUCUGGAACGCAUCAGUGCUCAGCUCCUAUGGCAAAGUUCUCCAGGAUCAUUCCCUACCCGUUCAUGGAUGAAGAGACUAUUUCUGAUGAGUUUGGCAUUGUUCGGGAAAGUGGGCAGCGCACUAAGGAUGAGAUUGCCUUUGCUUACAAACAAGAGAAGUCGUUUGUCAUUGGGUCAAUCAAAGACCUCUUGCCCCUCUAUGACACCAUGCGCCAUAUCCUGCGGUAUACCCUCUCUCCAAAGGACGGGGAUUCCCAUAACAUUCAGAGCUCCAUUCUUGAUGUCUUUGUGUAUCUUCAUCAGAAGAAGAAAGUGGAUGUUCUGGAUUUCAUGUACUACGAGCUGCGUUACAAAACUCCAACUGGACCCCAGCUGCUCAUGCUCCCUAUGUGCCCAUCAAGAAGGGGCGCAACCCUAGGCCUGAGGAUCGUGCUACUUACACUCCAGGCAUGUCCUCUACUGCACGGAUCCCUCGUGGAAAUCAACAAGGAGAAGCUUGUUCGGCGUGAGCAGAAGGCAGCAAGGGCUACUGCUGGUGAGGAGGUCGGUCCAGGUUCAGAGGACGUCGAUAGUGAGGCCACUGCUCGGUCUUUCCCAAUGGCCGGGUGGCAUUUUGAUGAUGAUGAUGAUGCCUCGAGUGCUCCUCCUCUUGUCUAG
RNAcentral lists this ribosomal RNA (3021 nucleotides) under Triticum aestivum (bread wheat). RNAcentral's name for it is "partial small subunit ribosomal RNA". Lineage: Eukaryota; Viridiplantae; Streptophyta; Magnoliopsida; Poales; Poaceae. The record is from RNAcentral.